Molecule: ribosomal RNA, 412 nt
Filed under: bacterium enrichment culture clone ALO1_GLFRUDD03FL27J
Lineage: Bacteria
Description: bacterial SSU rRNA
Rfam family: Bacterial small subunit ribosomal RNA
Source: RNAcentral
GAGUUUGAUCCUGGCUCAGAUUGAACGCUGGCGGCAUGCCUUACACAUGCAAGUCGAACGGCAGCACGGGAGCUUGCUCCUGGUGGCGAGUGGCGAACGGGUGAGUAAUGCAUCGGAACGUAUCCUGGAGUGGGGGAUAACGUAGCGAAAGUUACGCUAAUACCGCAUAUUCUGUGAGCAGGAAAGCGGGGGACCUUCGGGCCUCGCGCUCUUGGAGCGGCCGAUGUCGGAUUAGCUAGUUGGUGAGGUAAAGGCUCACCAAGGCGACGAUCCGUAGCAGGUCUGAGAGGAUGAUCUGCCACACUGGAACUGAGACACGGUCCAGACUCCUACGGGAGGCAGCAGUGGGAAUUUUGGACAAUGGGGGCAACCCUGAUCCAGCCAUGCCGCGUGAGUGAAGAAGGCCUCGGUG